AGAUGAAAACCGGGCGGGAUGGCAGCCCCGGGGCCAGGGAUGCGGGAGCCGCCGGGAAGACCCGCGCGCCGCUCGACUCAGAGGGACUCACACCUUCCCCCGACAAAGAGGCGGCCCCACUGUCGACCAAGUGCCCAAGGCAUUGUGGGAGUCAUGAUUCCAAGAUGCCCGCGACGGAAAAUGGAACUUGUCAGCUCCUUGUCAUGGGAGCAUUGUGGGCGCCACAACUCAUUCAGCUGCAGUGAAAAGACUGUUGCAUGUCGCUGUGCAGCCUCUUAUCGCCGAGGUCUGGCUUCCGCUGCUGCUGCGCGGCCCCUCCCCCGCCCGCCCAGCCCCACCAGGAAGCCCAGGGCGGACUCGUCGAGCUCCUAAUGCACGCGGCGGCGAGAAAAACGCUCUUCAACUUUCCGCCGGCGCCCUCCCGCGCUUCCCCGGGCCACAGGGUCGCCUGUCAACCGGACAGAGCCCGCAAGAGCGGGUCAUGGGCGGUCGCCCAGCGGCGCCGAGAGCAGGAGGAAGCCGGAGCCCGCGCGGGCGCCGUGGAUCCCCUCGGCCUCCCGUUGGUAUCUUCCAUCUCAUGCGUUCAGCAUUGUAACCUCGCGGCGGGCGUGCAGACCGGACGCCCUCCCGCUUCUUCUACCGACUGCUAGGCACACCAGUGGGUUCAUUUUGAAAGAGGCCCUUGCACCGGGCUUUGCAAGGAAGCCGGCAAGGUUAGAUUGAAGGUUAGAAGCCAAUUAGACUAGAAUCCUGCGAUCUGGUGAGACUGCCGCCUUAAAAUGCACCAAACAGUUUUUGAACCUGGAGGGCUAACAGGCGGGAAAAACAUCUGCAAGACUGCCACCGUGUAUUUUUCUCAAGUAACAGGCUAUCCACAGUUUUGGAAUUCCUUAGUGAAACUGUCACACAGGCACAAACACAUGUCAGCUUUCCUUCUAGUUUGUAAAUAAUAUUUGUAAUUUACAGGCCACUGUAUUCCCAACUUUGCACCAUGUGA
This 997-nucleotide long non-coding RNA is filed under the name Homo sapiens (human). RNAcentral describes it as "MBNL1 antisense RNA 1". Lineage: Eukaryota; Metazoa; Chordata; Mammalia; Primates; Hominidae. The record is from RNAcentral.